AGGGACAGCACUACUCCAGUGCGCGUGGAUUCAAAUAUCACUGAAAUUGCAACAAAAUGCCCGAACAAUCAGUAUAAUGCAUGAAGAAAAACUGAAAUGCAUCAUGAAUUGUUUGUACCUACCCGCAUAAUUCCAUUUUAUCCUAUUUCUCAUUGUUUCUUUUUCAAUUUAGACAACAGGGUGGAGGAAGAUUGUUCAAAUCCAUUCUAAGAAGUAUGAACUUAACCGUACAUCACUAAUGUACACAAUAUAACAAUUUGCUGUCUCCUAGUUAGGACUACCUCAAUAAACGUUGCUGGGGUCAAUACAGGCAGCUGAGUAUCUCCUCUCCGGGACCCAAAAGUUGGAACAGAACCAAUCUCUUGGCAUAUAGUAAUAUGUAGAUCUUUAUCAACAACAAUCCUUGCGAUUAAAACAGGCAACUGCUGGACUAGAAACAACCCCAAAAUUUGUGAUAAAAGAUUUACAAACAUGCCUAUAUGCGAAUCUCUAUCGACAACAAUCCUUGCGAUCAAAACAGGCAACUGUUGGACUACAAACAACCCCAAAAUUUGUGAUAACAGAUUUGCAAACAUGCCUAUAUGCGAAUCUCUAUCUGCUUAUUGGUUCUAGCUGAACCUCCAUGCGAUCAGAGGACCGUGAGUCUUUCUCUGCCAUUGCCUGGCUUGGACUGAGGAGGUCAAUGUCCUCCUCCUCACCACUACUCAGAACCCAAUUGCUUCUGCCGGAUAUUCUAUCCCGCCUUCUCUUCCUCUCACGAUACUCCAGGUACAUCACUGUCAAAGCACCAACAAGAAACCACAGAAUUAAAGCCCACAUGAGCCUGUGAACAUCUUCAUCAUCAUACCUCUCUCCUAAAUGCUUCAUUCCAGUUAUAAGUGCUGCAACCCUGCCAACAAUCCUCAGAGGACCGUGAGUCUUUCUCUGCCAUUGCCUGGCUUGGACUGAGGAGGUCAAUGUCCUCCUCCUCACCACUACUCAGAACCCAAUUGCUUCUGCCGGAUAUUCUAUCCCGCCUUCUCUUCCUCUCACGAUACUCCAGGUACAUCACUGUCAAAGCACCAACAAGAAACCACAGAAUUAAAGCCCACAUGAGCCUGUGAACAUCUUCAUCAUCAUACCUCUCUCCUAAAUGCUUCAUUCCCGUUAUAAGUGCUGCAACCCUGCCAACAAUGGCACCCCUGCCAACAAUGACAUGGAUGUACUCCCAAAGACGCCGUUUCGAAGAAACCUCCUCCCCUGCCGCAGGUUUCUUAGGUCGUAAGUAUGCAUUGACAGGUUGUGCAAUACAAAGAACUAUGGCCAGCAUUCCAAACUUGACGUGUAGGGAGCUAAAACUCAAACCGCGAAGUUCUGCAACAGCAAAGAGAAAGCCAAGGAAGACAAUUGCUAAUCCUGAAUACUGACAUUCCAAACUUGACAUGUAGGGAGCUAAAACUCAAACCGCGAAGUUCUGCAACAGCAAAGAGAAAGCCAAGGAAGACAAUUGCUAAUCCCGAAUACUGUAGAUAAACAUGAAUCUGAAACCAC
RNAcentral lists this long non-coding RNA (1530 nucleotides) under Nicotiana benthamiana. RNAcentral describes it as "long non-coding RNA (NBEN_LNC006191)". Lineage: Eukaryota; Viridiplantae; Streptophyta; Magnoliopsida; Solanales; Solanaceae. The record is from RNAcentral.